AGAGAAGAGAAGAGAAAAGAAAGAAAAGAAAAGAAAACCCAGUUAAAGAGAUUCUUCAAAGCAAGACUUUCAGUCUGUAAAUGUGCUAAUUAAUGUGCAUCCCGAACCUCCAAGGUGGAGUAUCAGAUGCAGAUAGAAUCUACUACAUUCCAAGUAUAUUUGACUAUAGAGCUCUUUUUCACCCAGAAUGACUUUACUCCAUGGAGCCACGGCCUGGGGAAUAUUCCAUGGGAGUCUUUGCUUUUGGAUGAAAUCAAGUUAGGCUGAAAAUUGGUAGGUUUCUUCAUCAGUUCAGAAGUUCUGGUGGGCAGUUCUAGAAGCCACUGGUUAAGGAACAAUGGAGAAACAAUGUACAGUAAAUACAGUGUAGUGGACAAAUGCCAAUGUGGGACUCAUCAAGAAAAAGAUAAUAAAAGAUCUUCAGUGGAGAGGGCCGGGUCUAUGUCCUAUUUGGCCAGCAAGGGUCCCUGGAAAGCCCUUCUCUCCUUGUGGCCCUUUCUGUAUCUCAUGCAGGAUCAGUUCUGCCACAGGCCAGAGAGGGAGCUCUCCAAGUGAUCCCCACAGGCUGUGCGAAGGAUGAGCUGCCCUGGAUCAGGUGACCUGGCCCCUCCCUAGUGAUCUUCCUUCCCCUCUUGUGUACUCAUUUCCUAACCUAUAAAGUGAGGAUCAGAGCCUCCACCUUGCUGAUCUGUCUUACUGACCUGAGAAUCUAACAAAGUGGCAAAUGUGUUCAGGCUUGGGAAAAAGUAAAGUGCUCUGUGGCACUGGAAGACCAGUGGCGCUGAGGGAGUGUUGUCUUAAGAGCUGUCCCCUGUAGGUCAACAAGGGACUGUCCUCUAAUCUUGCUGUUCAGUAUGUGGUGUGUGAUCCAGCAGCAUUGGCAUCAUAUUACCACAGAGCCCACCGGAAAUGCAGAAUCAUGGUCUCACCUAAGUUCUCUCCUACUAAAUCAGAAUCUCCUUUGAACAAGGUCCCUUUGAACAGUGAUUCGUAGGCACAGAAAAGUCUGAGAAGCACUGGUCUAGACUCUUCUCCUCUUCAGAACCGCCCUGUGUGCUAUUUCCUCAAGGGUGACAAGCACUGAACCCCCUAUGGUAAUAUUGCCCAGCAUUUAUGCCCCUGUCAUCCCCAUUCUUCUGUUUGAAACCUCCUAUGGAUGUUCACUGCUUUCAGAAUCAAGUCCCAGCUUUAAGACCAGGCCCAACAGGCAUUUGGCAACUAGCCCUGAGCCGACCUCCUGUCCUCGGUGUUCAGCCAUCCCCACGGCCCCAUGGCCCACUCAUGGAAGCUGCCCUUGCUUUCUUCUCACCCUCAGCACCAAGCUCGUCCCUUCUUACACUGUAGAGUCCAACUGAAGGUCCUGCCUCUGAAGCCUGCCCCAGCUCUCUCAGCAGAUGGUGGCUCCCAGGGCUCAGUGUGUCCUUCCACACAGCCUUUAGGACAACACUCUCCUGACCAUGAACAACUUGUAGAGAUAGGCCUUGUCUUAUUCCUGUUCCAACAGACUGGCAUUGGGCAAGUGCCAGUAAGUACUGAACAGAUGGGAGAGUGGACAGAAGGAAGGACCACAAGGCUGUUUCUCUGGUGGGUCCAGUGCUCUGUGAGAGAAAUGUUAGCCCAGACAGCACCAGAGGCCCGCUGAGGGUGAAUUCAGAGGGAGGAACAGCAAAUACUUGGCACACACGCACGUGUCAGACAUCACACUUUUGUCACUGCUUUUCCUUCCUCUUCACCCUCCCAACCCUGUCAACUACUAACCAACUGGGGCACCAUCUGCCAUCUCAGGUCUAGAUUAGUCACAGUCCUGACGAGCCCCCAAACAGGAACACAUGAGAGGGGCCCACGGUGGUCUAGGCAGGGUCUGGUUGCCAAACUCUGGCCGAAGCUUUGAGGAGGAGCAGUGCAGGAGAGAGGCUGGGGUAUUAGUGGGAGCAUCUUUUUUAUGGCUCUGGCACUCAAAGUUUUGUUCAACAGAAGACUCCUUCACCCCACCUCCCAGCCCUAAGAGGCAUCUCGAAAGGACAGAGUCAGGCUAUUUGCCAUUUGCCCCUCCCACCUGGGAUGGCCAGUGCAUUCUUUUUCUUUGCUCUGAUUUAGCAAAGCUGUCUUCAGGCAGAAUAGAUGCUCAAUGAACAUUUGCUGCAGGGAUAGAAGUGAAAGUGGGUGCCUGCACCACCUCCUGCUCUGGUCAUUGCUCUGCCACCCCCUGGGCCCCUGCCUGGCCAUACUCAUUUAUACCCGACAAGCAGGACACUCAAGCCAUACACAUGGGCCCUUGUCCUCUCCCACUCCCCCUGACAGGAGCAAAGGAGACACGUACACAUAGCCGAUGAUAUCAGCAUCUGGCUGCUGGUAGAAUGCUUUGUCAGCGAUCCUUGAGAGGAAAGGGUUAGGUGGGGGAAGACAGAUGGCAAGACAGACAGGCGGAGGGUUAAAGAGAAAGGGAGACAGCAUUAGUACCUCUAGUUGGAGAGCAUUAGGAAGCACAGUCCUGUAAGUCUCAGCAACUAACCACAACCCAGAGAGGAGAGCAGGGAUCCUCCACGGCUUGUGUGCCUUUUCUAAAACUGCCCUGACCAUACUACUUCUGUUCACAAACCUUCUGUGGCUCCUCACCACCCCUGUCUGUCCAACCCGGUUACUAGAGGUCCUCCACACAUGACCCCUCAUUCUUGCCUUCUCUCCUGCCACUCCCUGACUUCCUGGGGCCCAAAACACAACAGCCUUUUAUAUUAUGCUGUUCCCUGGUCUCCCCAACCCUGCCCUAAUGAAUUUCCAGUCACCUUUCAAAGCCCAGGUCCUAGACACGGAGGUCCUUCUCCUACCACAACCCUUGCUUCCACAGCCUUCCUGUAGAGAGGCCUAGUGUGAGUUCACCAGCACAUGUGUGCUUCUCUUUUCCAAGCUCUUCAAGGAUACAGAGUGCGUCCCUCUCUGCUCUGUCUCCGCAGUGCCCAACCAAGAGCCUGGCAUGCCCUUCCGUGCAAGCCAGGUACCCUGAAGGACACAGCCUCAAGGGCAGAGAUGGUGGCCAGACUCUCAGAAGUGGUCUGAGACCAUUUCUAUGGAAGUGCCCUUUGGUGGGCAUCGCUAUCUUUGCCUGCCAUAUCCAUCCCCCUUCUUCCCAGGAAGAGCACCCUGAUCGUCUUUGGCAGGAUCAGGCUGGCUCCACUUUAGUCCCUGUGGUUUGGGUGAGAAUGACUCCGUGCACAACCUAAGGAAUGGGACUAUGGCCAAGGCUGGGUCCAUCACAGAGUCCCUCCCCUGGUACAAUCUCUGGACCCGGGAUGGGCACAGGACCCACACCAAACCAAUAAGGGUCAGAUCAAGGAUUUCAGCUAGAGCUGUGGGAGCAAGAUGUUAUGUUCAUAGAGGUUGCCAAAAGAGUACAGCAGAAGGCUGGAGCUGAUGGUGGCCAUCUCUCCCCCCACCCUGCCCCAUUCCAGGGCAAGAGAGAAAAGUGGCAUGGAGAGACAGUAAAAGUGAGUGCCAGGUGACUUUGUCUGAGCCCCUGAGCCUAGUACUGCAGUCCCACCCCUGGCCUUUUCUGUUUUACAGGCCACUAAUUUCCUUUUACUCUUUAGCCUCUCUGGGGUGAAGCAUUGUCAUUUCUACAAGCAGUACAAUCCUGUACCCAGGUUGGUUCUUCACUCCCCACCAGGCCUGUGCUUUCUGUGACACUAACUGCUGGGCCCUGGGCAGUCUGGCUCCCGUGCCACGGUCCUGAGACCUCUUCUGCUGACUGCAGAACUUGCUUCCCUGUCAUGGUGAUAUGACAGCUCAACAGUGAACCACCUCUGAAGGGCUCUGAACUCCACAGCAACUGAGGAAGCAGUCCCAAGGGCUUCAGCUUCUCCUUUAUGUUCUUUUUUUUUUUUUUUCUCCUUUAUGUUCUUGCCACCAAAUCAUCUAGCCUCAAGACGGUCAUCUCAUAACUUCUCUCACUGUCCACAUGGCUGGCUUCUUGUCCUCAAGUCCCCUCAUAUUCCCAUAGCCCCCUCAUGUCCCUGUACCUCCUCUCAUGUCCCCACAGCCCCCUCAUGUCCCUAUAGCUCCCCUCAUGUCCCCACACUCCUCUCCUGUCCCCAUAGCUCCUCUCACCGGUUAUUGAUCUUGUUCUUCUCAACUUGUUCACUCUGACGCUGGUUCCACUCCUCCAGGUCCUUCUUGGCUUUUUCCCGCCACUCCUGUUCUGUCACCUUGGAGGCAGCAUCUGUGACCCCCACAGCAGAGUAGAGAAACUCUAGCUCCAGAGUCCCAAGGUCACCCAGCCGGGAACUGGCAGAGCCGAGAUUCCAACUGAAUUCCUGGGUGUGAACCUACCAGCCACGCAGCAGGGACCUAAGUCACUUGUGCAUCACGUGGUUUGUGAAGCACUCUGUCUUCCCCGUGAGUCUACUUCCCCAAGAUUAGAGCCGGUGCCUACUCCUCUAGGUGCCCCCUGCCCCAUCCCCCAUCUCUCUCUUGCACCCACACACUACCACCCCUCAGCUCACUCCUCAGCAUGACCAGGAACUUAGAAGAAGCUUCCUUGGGCUGCAGAGCACUUUUCCCAACAGCCCUGCGGGGAUAGCAGGGCAGGGCCUCGAAUCCCCUUUUGACAAGUGAGAAAUCAGCUCAGAGCAGCCAAGAGAGUAGUCCAAGCUCUUGGGUUGGGGAUAGCCAGCAACGAAGCCCAGGCCUUCUGAUCCCAUCCAAACUCUACUGCCACAGCCCACCACAGCACCCCAGCCUGGGUGCGGGAGCAGCCUUGAGGGCCACUUAAACCCCCGUGGGUGCUUCUCAAGGCCCCUAGAGCAGCCGCACUGCAAAUCCACGGGCACCACAUAUCCAGGUGUACAGCUCAGUGUUAUUCCAAGCACAUUGUGCUCAGAGGUAGCUAUGCCUGAGGCUCAGGGUGUGAAGCUUGGCUAAGCUAGACUUGCCUCCUCCACUUGUAUACCAGCAGCACCACCCACUAACAGGCUCUAGCUGGGAGCUGCUCCAGGGUGGGGGUGGGGGCACUCCCCUCCCAUCACACCAUCCCUGUAGCUUUGGCCUCUCUGGGCUCCCUCAGCACACCAUCGUCUGUGGCAGGCCCCAGGCUCCAGGCAAGGCCCACAGAGACUGCCUUACCCUCUGUACCUUUGCACAUGCUUCUUUAUCAGCCAAGACCAUGUACAUGCCCACUUCGAGCAUCCCUUCCCUGUUGCGCUCUGAGUGCAGCACCUGGAGCCAGAACCAGGUUCAAGUCCCAGCUCUUCCCAGCUAUGUAAUGAGAGUGAGCUAUUAAACCUCCCUGUGCAUCCUCCUCUUGAUCUGUAAAAUGGGGACAAUGACAGAACCUGCGUCAUAGGGUUGUUGGGAGGAUGAAAUGAACUAAUUAAUACAUGUAGAGCUCUUGGAUGAUGCCUGACACAUUAA
Molecule: long non-coding RNA, 5403 nt
Organism: Canis lupus familiaris (dog)
Lineage: Eukaryota; Metazoa; Chordata; Mammalia; Carnivora; Canidae
Exons: 2
Source: RefSeq, a predicted model, not a curated record